UCCUUCCUCAGGUGAGUUAACGCAAUGGUUAAACAGUGGUCUUGGCAUGAAGUUUUCAAAGUGAGCGGACGUGUUCCUUGAGUGCUCCGUGGAGGUGUACUGCUGAGACUGUCUACAGGAGGAGUUUCCGUCAACAAACUACUCCAGUGGAACCGGCAUCUCUCCAGCUUUCCAACGAGCCAUCGCGCGAGAAAAUUGGUUAAGAUAAAAAUCCAUUACAAAUAGUGGUAGCAGAGCAUAAAACUUGACAAAGAAUUUGGUAAAAAUGGGUAAAACAAACAAGCGAAGAAAGGGCGCUCGAUCGUGCUUGCGAAACAUCUUUCAGGAAGAAUCUCCAAUAUCACGAAUGGCAACUCCAGAUCGCUCACAAAUGGAAAUGACAAUUCGUGAAACUAUUUCUCAAAAACAUCGACAAAUGAUGGAAAGCAGCAUCGACACGUUGGUACAAGCCUUCUCGGAGCAACUAAAGCAAUUUUGGCCAAAAAUAGAAUCUGAUAAAUUACAAUUUAAUUCAGUAAUAUCUGGCACAGCUCAAAAUACCUUAUCAACAAGCAUCAAUAUUAAUUCAGAGGGAACAAUUCCUUCUUUGCCAACCCCACCAAAUAUCCAACAAAAAAUAGAAAAGGAUUUGGAAUUAACUAACCUUGAACUUGCCUUGAAGGAAGCUAAUUUGGACAAUAAUGAUAUCCAAAAAAAUAAAAAUAAUCAAACAAAACAAUAUGGCCCACAAACAGGACUUUGCAGGUGAAAUUGUAGAAAAGAGCUACAAAGGGACACACACACAAAAAAAAAAGAUUACGCCUUAAAGGAUUAUGCUAUCAGGAUCUACUUUCGUAGAAAAGCCCCCAUCUAAAUAUCUGGACUUCACCACAAUUGGUAAAUUUCCGAACUUUAAACUAUUUCAGCCGCUCUCUACAAUAGUAUUCUUGUGUGAAUUGGCACCCAUAUAGAUGAAAUAAAAAUCAUGGAUAUGAAAGAGUACUUGGCCGUAGAUUGUUAAACGAAUCCAUGUUUGUUCAAAUAGAUUGUAAUUCCAGUAAUCUAAAGACUGAUUGUAAUAAACUAAUUUACAGCAUUGGUUAAAAAACUAAGCUUCUCUUAUUAAUGUAUCUUAUUGAUUAUAUAAAUGUACAUAUAAAUUAUAUAAUAAUAACUUAUUGUAAGAAGUGUACUUAAAAAAUCGUUGACUUGUAAAUGAUUAUUACAUUACUAUUUUUAUUUAAGACGUGGUACAUGUAAGCAGAAUUAACAUAUAACACAUGUUAAUGUUAUCUCUAUGUUUGUAAAUUAACUGAAUUUGUAUUUUAAAAAAAUUUAUAUUUUACUAUGUUGUUGUAAUGCCCUGAGGAAGGGCAAAUAUAGAGCCGAAAGCUUGGCAAUUACAGUGUAUGAUUCAUUGAAUAUUGUAUCCAAUAUUGUAAUGUAUGUUGUAUACAUUGUAAAAUUGGUGCAAGCUGUAAACAUAAAUAAAUUAAAAACCUGUUAUAAAUCGAAAACAAAGUUGGUAAUGUUUUUUUGGAUGAUGUAAUGAAUGAUAUUCCUAAUUAUGAAAAUACCUUGAAAAAAUGGACUAUGUACCAAUAAAUAUCCUAAACCUGAAUAACCUAAGUUGGGUGAUAUCAGAAUAACCUUGUCAAUCCUGAGUAAGCGUUAUGCAUGCCUUUCUUGGACCAUAUACCCAAUAAUAUUUAGCAAAGGGUUGAAAAAAAAAAAAAAAAAAAAAA
Molecule: long non-coding RNA, 1724 nt
Organism: Cimex lectularius (bed bug)
Lineage: Eukaryota; Metazoa; Arthropoda; Insecta; Hemiptera; Cimicidae
Exons: 2
Source: RefSeq, a predicted model, not a curated record